Molecule: long non-coding RNA, 1008 nt
Filed under: Salmo salar (Atlantic salmon)
Lineage: Eukaryota; Metazoa; Chordata; Actinopteri; Salmoniformes; Salmonidae
Description: lncRNA (ENSSSAG00000086507.1)
Source: RNAcentral
GUAUAACAUGUAUUAGACCAAUGCUGGAUGCCAGGAUUAGUUAUAACAUGUAUUAGUCCUGAUGCUGGAUGCCAGGAUUAGGUAUAACAUGUAUUAGACCAAUGCUGGAUGCCAGGAUUAGUUAUAACAUGUAUUAGAUCGAUGCUGGAUGCCAGGAUUAGGUAUAACAUGUAUUAGACUGAUGCUGGAUGCCAGGAUUAGGUAUAACAUGUAUUAGACCAGAUGCUGGAUGCCAGGAUUAGGUAUAACAUGUAUUAGACAGAUGCUGGAUGCCAGGAUUAGGUAUAACAUGUAUUAGACAGAUGCUGGAUGCCAGGAUUAGGUAUAACAUGUAUUAGUCCCGAUGCUGGAUGCCAGGAUUAGGUAUAACAUGUAUUAGUCCCGAUGCUGGAUGCCAGGAUUAGGUGUAACAUGUAUUAGACAGAUGCUGGAUGCCAGGAUUAGGUAUAACAUGUAUUAGACAGAUGCUGGAUGCUAGGAUUAGGUAUAACAUGUAUUAGACAGAUGCUGGAUGCCAGGAUUAGGUAUAACAUGUAUUAGACAGAUGCUGGAUGCCAGGAUUAGGUAUAAAAUGUAUUAGACUGAUGCUGGAUGCCAGGAUUCGUUUUUUACAAAUAACAUAAAAGUAUGCAAUUUUUCUGCAUCCUUGUAUCUAACUCUGCGAUAUAAUUAACCAAAAUCUACGCCCGCCUUUCCUGCGUUGCGUGACAUUCGCAGCCUACCCCACCAAUAAUUCUGCAUGUAUAAUACAGCGAAACAGUGAUUCUUUCUGUGUAUUUAGUAACACAAUGACUGCUGCCCCACCACAACACAUCAGCUUUAGGCAACAGCCUACAAGCAAAAUCUCAAUGUAGGUUAACGAGCUCCGUAGAGUUUAAAUGGACCGCUCGAUACAACACUGAUGAAUAAUAUGGACGAUACUGUGUUGUAGUCUACUUCGUAAACUAAUGCACACACUAUUCAAUUAAAUGUGGAUCGUCAGAUAGUCAUAUUUUGUAAUAUUGUUGU